ACGAACGCUGGCGGCAUGCCUAACACAUGCAAGUCGAACGAACUCUUCGGAGUUAGUGGCGCACGGGUGCGUAACGCGUGGGAAUCUGCCCUUUGGUUCGGAAUAACAGUUAGAAAUGACUGCUAAUACCGGAUGAUGUCUUCGGACCAAAGAUUUAUCGCCAAGGGAUGAGCCCGCGUAGGAUUAGGUAGUUGGUGGGGUAAAGGCCUACCAAGCCGACGAUCCUUAGCUGGUCUGAGAGGAUGAUCAGCCACACUGGGACUGAGACACGGCCCAGACUCCUACGGGAGGCAGCAGUGGGGAAUAUUGGACAAUGGGGGAAACCCUGAUCCAGCAAUGCCGCGUGAGUGAUGAAGGCCUUAGGGUCGUAAAGCUCUUUCACCGGUGAAGAUAAUGACGGUAACCGGAGAAGAAGCCCCGGCUAACUUCGU
This 431-nucleotide ribosomal RNA is filed under the name uncultured bacterium. Its description in RNAcentral is "bacterial SSU rRNA". It matches the Rfam family "Bacterial small subunit ribosomal RNA", at positions 29 to 506 of the family's 1533-position model. The record is from RNAcentral.